AGCUGGAAAGAGGGAGUACGUGAAGGCAGCGGCCGAUAUGCAUGGAGUAAUGGCAACAUGUAUAUUGGGAGCUGGAAAGAUGGAAAAAUGUGUGGUAGAGGUGUUAUGAAAUGGUUCGAUGGAGAUCUUUUUGAUGGAUGUUGGUUGAAUGGUUUAAGACACGGUUCAGGCUGUUACCGAUUUGCUGAUGGAAGUUACUACUUUGGGGUGUGGACUAAAGGGCUAAAAGAUGGACAUGGAAUGUUUUAUCCUGCUGGAAGUAAGCAUCGCUUUCUGAGGAAGUGCAGUGAUAGGUCUGAUGAGAAGAGGAAAAGGCGGCUCUCACACAUUUCAUCCUCUAAUUCAGAGUCUGUGAAACCUAAAGUGAAGCGUAGUUUUUCAGAGAGAAUUUCCUCUAGCUUGCUCAGAAGUUCAGGAAGCAUAUCGCAGAGGACUACAUCACUGGGAGAAGACAUUGCCCUCGGUGAUUCCAGCAGAGACAUUAUGACCUGUGAUUCAUCAAGUGUAUUAUCUCAAAGCUCUCUUGAUGACAGGACUGAAUUUCUGGAAACGGGGUCUGUAGCUUAUGAAAGGGAAUACACGCAAGGAGUCCUAAUCAAAGAAAGGAUUGUAAAUAUUAGUAAACUAUCUCGCAAAAGUAAACAACGGUGUAAAUUUCACGCGAAAGAAGUAAAGAGGAAGUCAUGUGUGGACUUUCUUGAAGGCCGUAAGAGCUACUAUCUGAUGCUUAAUUUGCAACUUGGCAUCAGGUAUUCUGUUGGUAAGAUCACUCCUGUGCCUAUCCGUGAA
This 789-nucleotide unclassified non-coding RNA is filed under the name Hevea brasiliensis (rubber tree). The record is from RNAcentral. Lineage: Eukaryota; Viridiplantae; Streptophyta; Magnoliopsida; Malpighiales; Euphorbiaceae.